RNAcentral lists this long non-coding RNA (907 nucleotides) under Homo sapiens (human). Its description in RNAcentral is "HSALNT0307428". Lineage: Eukaryota; Metazoa; Chordata; Mammalia; Primates; Hominidae. The record is from RNAcentral.
ACCAUGAGAUGUUUUCUACUGUAGAAACUUUCUCAUUAGAAAUAGCCCAUUUAUACAGGGGACUGGCUAAUGUUUUUCUAUGAGUAUCAUUAGCCAGUGUCUCAAAGUGGUGAAGAGUAAGUAUAUAGCAUCUUUCAAAAGACUGCAACCUGGAACAAGGAGAGACAAAGGGAAGGAGGAGUCUGGAGCCAUAUUGAAGAUGAAAUUGAGAUAUGGACUAGGUGGUGGAUCGUUUUUAUAAGAGGACAUAAAAGAGGAUGCUAAAGCUAAUUGCCACAAUCAGAACUCAAAGACCUAGCAAAUGCAAGACACUGGCCACCUCCCUGAACCUGGGCCAAGAUGAGGGUCUACACCUUGGCUUAGUUCUACUAUGAAAGACUUUCCUGCAGUAAAAGUUACCUGUCUGAAACAUUCAGAAGAGUGAAAAUGCCACAUCUCCAAUUUCCAGCAAUAUAUUUGUCUGCCAUGAUUUGGCCUGGAAGCUUAAGCAGGAAGACCACUUGGAGCCAGACUUCAGAGUGAUCUGUCUCUAAGGAAUAACUUUCAUAUUGCAGCGUUCGGUUUUGCAAUUCUUCCUAAGCUACUCUAAAUUCGCAGCAUAAAUCUGCAGAAAGACUUCACCCUCCACAUCAAACCCUUAUAAGGAUCCAUUUCUGCUCUCAUUUUAGAAUAUCUUUUCUAAUAGCUAAAGGCAGACAGAGGCAAACCAAGAAAUCCAGACUUUGCAUCAACGGGUUAAAUCAUAUGUCAAAGGUGCAACCAUAACGUAUUACAAGCUUCUCAUCACAUAAUACAUCACUCAAGAAAAAAUAUUUGGGCAGCUUUUCUAAUUCAUCUUCCUGGUGUUAAAGGAGCACAUCUCCAGUGUUCGUGUCUUCUGUUUCAAUUAAAGCAAUCAUGCCUACUC